This 21-nucleotide non-coding RNA is filed under the name Arabidopsis thaliana (thale cress). Lineage: Eukaryota; Viridiplantae; Streptophyta; Magnoliopsida; Brassicales; Brassicaceae. The record is from RNAcentral.
UUUAAUCAUUGUGCCUGCUAC